CACUACAGUCCCAUGUAUUUCAUUAUUUGCUUGAACGUCAUCACUCUGAAACUGACCUGGAUAAUGGCUGGAUUUUCAGCCAUUCAUUUCCAAUCAAACGGAAAGUAACUGUACAUUCCUGAUUAUUAAUUGGAUUAUUCAGCUGACUAGUGUUGAGCUCUACUGACCUGUCGUCUGGUACAAAGUGGUAGACUAUUUUAGUGAAGACUUCAAUUAAUCUCCUGACUGUUUUGGAGGCACGACUUUUGAUUGGAAUUUGAUAAAGUUUUAAUUGACUCCACCACCACUCCACUCACACAACGAGGUUAUUAUACUUGACUUGGAUGAGAAUCUACAAGCUUGGUUUGGUGAUAAGUUGCAGCAGAUCUCAUCAAUAGUGUACAAUGACUUGACAGCUGUUGGAAGGGAGAUCAUUCAACUUAUUCAAGCCCAAGAAGAGGUGCAGGAGUUUCACACUGGGGUCGAAUCUUCAGGUUCAAUAGUUCUUAGUAGAGACCAAGAAGUUCCUUCAUCAGGGGGCCUGUUUCAUAAAGUCUAACAACUAUAUAUUGUAACUUUGUCAUUAUUGUAACUACACCAUGGAAACCUUUAUUGUGAUUGGCUGCUAUAAGCCCCAUUACCAUGGUUGUUGCCAUAAUGGCAAAGUUACAAAAGUUGUAACUCUUCAUGAAAUGGGCCCUGGCCUGGACUAUCAAUAUCAAAGAAGAAGUACUCAUCACAAUCCUGACUGUUGCAGAUGUGUCUCGUGCCUGAGAGAUCAUCGAUAAGACAUGAGGAGAUCCGAUCCUGUUAUUUCCAGAUCAUGGCAGACCUCUUCUGUCUGAAGCAAAGUAUCGGUACCUAUGGACUGACUGGGCUUGUCUAUCUACUUUGCUUCAUGAUGCUCAAAGCACUACACCACUCUUAACCAUCAUUGAUAAGGGUGUCUCAAGGGACAAGGCUUGGCUGGAGAUGAAUGGUGCUCUGAUGAAUCCACUCAAUCCAGUGAAAGGA
Long non-coding RNA from Lytechinus variegatus (green sea urchin), 993 nucleotides. RefSeq lists it as uncharacterized. The record is from RefSeq and is a predicted model, not a curated record. Lineage: Eukaryota; Metazoa; Echinodermata; Echinoidea; Temnopleuroida; Toxopneustidae. The transcript is spliced from 5 exons.